CCUACGGGGUGCAGCAGUCGAGAAUCAUUCACAAUGGGGGAAACCCUGAUGGUGCGACGCCGCGUGGGGGAAUGAAGGUCUUCGGAUUGUAAACCCCUGUCAUGUGGGAGCAAAUUAAAAAGAUAGUACCACACGAGGAAGAGACGGCUAACUCUGUGCCAGCAGCCGCGGUAAUACAGAGGUCUUAAGCGUUGUUCGGAAUCACUGGGCGUAAAGCGUGCGUAGGCUGUUUCGUAAGUCGUGUGUGAAAGGCGCGGGCUCAACCCGCGGACGGCACAUGAUACUGCGAGACUAGAGUAAUGGAGGGGUAACCGGAAUUCUCGGUGUAGCAGUGAAAUGCGUAGAUAUCGAGAGGAACACUCGUGGCGAAGGCGGGUUCCUGGACAUUAACUGACGCUGAGGCACGAAGGCCAGGGGAGCGAAAGGGAUUAGAUACCCGGGUAGUC
This 446-nucleotide ribosomal RNA is filed under the name uncultured bacterium. Its description in RNAcentral is "partial 16S ribosomal RNA". It matches the Rfam family "Bacterial small subunit ribosomal RNA", at positions 338 to 795 of the family's 1533-position model. The record is from RNAcentral.